Molecule: microRNA precursor, 171 nt
Filed under: Triticum aestivum (bread wheat)
Lineage: Eukaryota; Viridiplantae; Streptophyta; Magnoliopsida; Poales; Poaceae
Description: MIR2118 microRNA precursor family
Rfam family: MIR2118 microRNA precursor family
Source: Rfam by way of RNAcentral
UCUAGGAAGAGGAAGAAAGAGAGGGCCUAAGAGCUAUGGGAAUGAGGACAUGGAUGAAAACCUAACUUACUGGUUCUUUACCUCUUGUGUUGAGGUGGAAGUCGUGUUUGGUAUUUCCUGAUGCCUCUCAUUCCUAUCGUUCUUAAGCACUCCUUCCUCUUUCUUUUUGUU